This is a long non-coding RNA of Microtus oregoni (creeping vole), 666 nucleotides long. RefSeq lists it as uncharacterized. The record is from RefSeq and is a predicted model, not a curated record. The transcript has 3 exons. NCBI's taxonomy places the organism in Eukaryota, Metazoa, Chordata, Mammalia, Rodentia, Cricetidae.
GCCAGCGGUCUUUGGGGCCGAGUAUUGUCCUAAAAGCCAAAAACCAAAAAUUUAAAUAAAAAAAAAAUCUGGAGAAAGAAGGGGCUUAGGGCAAGCAACCACGUGGCUUCAGGAUUAUAACAAGAUUUCCUUUCGCUCAUGACAAGAUUGCAAAAUAUGUGAACCAGACCGCACAGUCAGGACAGGACUGUAAGCACGCGGGCAAGGCCCCAGGACCAUUGUCACCACCUCCAGAAAGGCUUUUCUGACUUGACAGUUCAUGCCGAGAGACUCCUGUAAUCUGGGAUGACUCCCCAUGUAGACAAUGAGGUUAAUGUUGGUCGUCACCAUUCAGCAGAAGUGGGGUGAUGGAAUAAGCCAAAUCUCUACUGGAUGGAAACAAAGUGUGUUUUCUCCCUACCGGAAAUCUGAUGGGCUUAUGACAUCAUGGCUGGCUGCUGAGCGAUGGAGAGGAUGCCACAAAGAAAUCCGACAUAUCCGAUGGAUUCAGAAAUCACUUUCCCUCCUGCGGCUGGAGGAACAGGCGUGUACAGGCAGGAGAAUCUGAGCUUUGUUUGAAAAAUUAUUCUGGAAAAAGAAAAAAAUAAAACAACCCACAACCCCCAAACAAAAAACAACCAAACCCCAAGUCUUGCCCGACAUUAAAGGCAAUUUUCUUAAAGACAA